This is an RNA transcript of Syzygium oleosum, 2313 nucleotides long. RefSeq lists it as uncharacterized. The transcript has 14 exons. NCBI's taxonomy places the organism in Eukaryota, Viridiplantae, Streptophyta, Magnoliopsida, Myrtales, Myrtaceae. The record is from RefSeq and is a predicted model, not a curated record.
GUCUCGGGUGCAGAUCACUAAAGAAGUCCGGAAGGGAAGUAAAUGAAGUUUCACUGAAUCAAUCUCUCUGUGGUUGUGUUUCUGCCUCUCCCGAGUGGUUCCUAUCAAGCAACAGUAUCUGAAACUCCACUGCAGAAACAGAGAUUCUCGUUCUCUUCGCGUUCUCACACGCACCCAUCUUGUACGCCCUUUCGCGUUCAACAACCAGUCAACCCCAAAACAUCAUCCAACUUCUGCGCGCUCUCUCUCUCUCUCGCACACACGCGAACACAAACUCCGUUCUUAAAUUCGCUAGAGAUCACACAAGCACAGCACUCUCUCGGCCUUCGCGGAAAACAAGAAAAGAAAUCAUCGACUUCAAUUACAUAGCGACGGCAGCGGCGGCGGCGGCGGCGGCGGCGGCGAGGAACUCGGAAUGUUGUUCGAGAACGGCGGGGGUGGUCUGAGGGGGCUGAGGCCACUGGUUCACCUGCUGAUCCCGCUCUGCGUCCACUGGACCGCCCACGAAAUGACGGUGUCGGUGCUCGUCGACGUCCUGAUCGACGCUCUGUGCCCCGGCGACACCACUUGCUCCGAAGUCAUCUACUUCAAUGGCCUCGAACAGACGAUCGUUGGAGUUUUCAGGAUGUUUUCAAUCCCGAUCCUCGGUCAGCUUGCAGACGAGUAUGGACGAAAACCGGUGCUCCUUGUAAUCAUAUCAACGUCCGUAUUUCCCUUUGCUAUGCUGGCCUGGAAUCAGUCAAGGGGAUUUGUAUAUGCCUAUUAUGUGCUCAGAACUAUAUCGAACAUUCUCAGUCAGGGCAGUAUAUUAUGUGUUUCCAUUACUUAUGCGGCAGAUGUCGUUGAACCCGGUAAGAGGGCUUUCGCGUUUAGCUGGAUUACAGGUCUUCUUUCUGCUUCUCAUGUCCUGGGAAACUUGUUAGCACGUUUUCUCCCAGAGAAGUACAUAUUUGAUAUUUCAAUAGCUCUCUUGCUCUGUCCCCCGAUAUAUAUCUACGUGUUUCUGUGUGAGACAGUUGAGUAUGCCCCAAGGCAGGACGAAGAGUCAACAUGGUCGACUAGGAUUUUUAGGGGUGUAUCCAAACGGUACAGGUCAAUGAGAGAUGCUGCUAUAAUAGUCAUAAGGAGUCAAACGCUCAGAGGCAUCUCCAUUGUUUCCUUCUUCUACGAGUUGGGAAUGACUGGCAUCAGCAACGUAUUACUAUACUAUCUGGAGGCAGCUUUCGGUUUUACUAAGAAUCAGUUUUCGGAGAUUCUAAUAGUGGUGGAAGCAGGUUCAAUAGUUUCACAGAUCUUGGUUCUCCCUCUUGUAAAUCCUUGGGUUGGAGAAAAAGUAAUACUCUGUGUAGGCUUACUUGCAUCAAUUGCUUAUGCAUUGUUCUAUGGCUUGGCUUGGGCAUCAUGGGUGGCAUACUUAAGUGCCUCUUUUGGAGUUAUUUAUGCCCUUGUUGAUCCUGCUACCUAUGCCAUAAUUUCAAAAGCAUCAAGCUCGGCCGAUCAGGUUAGCAUGGAUAUUCCGUUAUCUAUUCUGCUUUUUAUGCACCGUACAUCAUGGACUUGUGGUUACUGCCAAACUCUGCAACCCAAGGAUGUUGACUUUGAUCCCUCCAUGACAUCUGUUUCUGAGAAUACAAACCGAAGAUUCAGAUAUGCAUGUGUUAGCAUAACAAAAGAGUUUGUUAUUGCUAUGGCGAUGGUCAGAGGGAAAGGCGCAAGGACUCAUAGUUGGUAUAAAAGCAAUAGCCAGUUUUUUAUCGCCCCUUGCCAUGAGUCCCUUGACUGCUUGGUUCCUAUCAGAUAAUGCCCCCUUCAACUGCAAGGGCUUUAGCAUUGUAUGUGCCUCUGUAUGCAUGGUUCUGUCUUUCGCGUACGCUUGUCUGCUUAAACCAGAAGAUUGGUCAAGCCAGAACUCAGAUCAGGACAACAUAGAUGACCAAGAAGCACCAUUACUUGGCAGCAGUACUGGAUAAAUUACAAAUCAUCUAAUUUUCAUGUAGUCAUGAAAUUUGACCGAGGGUGUCGUGGUUGCAUGUACCUCGGAUAAGCUCUUGGAGAAGUAAUUCUGUUUUCGAGGAGUUGCAUCUGACAAAGUUGUAAAUAUAGGAGAGUUUGGGAGCUGAUUCUUAGAUAAGCAGCUUAAGGUUACUUCUCCAGCCUUUGCCCGUAGGAGGUCUUGCUAUGAAAUUUCACUUUAUCAAAUGUAUCGAUAAUGUAUUUCCUCGUUAUUGUAUUAAUUAUAACAAUCAGCAGUCCAGCUAACUGCUAAAUUUUACUAUAUCUUGAAGGCCAUCAGAUAACUUAAUUAAAGUCAAA